RNAcentral lists this ribosomal RNA (253 nucleotides) under uncultured Eubacteriales bacterium. RNAcentral describes it as "uncultured Clostridiales bacterium partial 16S ribosomal RNA". It matches the Rfam family "Bacterial small subunit ribosomal RNA", at positions 524 to 776 of the family's 1533-position model. Lineage: Bacteria; Bacillati; Bacillota; Clostridia; Eubacteriales. The record is from RNAcentral.
UACGUAGGGGGCAAGCGUUAUCCGGAUUUACUGGGUGUAAAGGGAGCGUAGGUGGCAAGGCAAGUCAGAUGUGAAAACCCGGGGCCCAACCCCGGGAGUGCAUUUGAAACUGUCUGGCUAGAGUGCAGGAGAGGUAAGUGGAAUUCCUAGUGUAGCGGUGAAAUGCAUAGAUAUUACACAGAACACCGAUUGCGAAGGCAGCUUGCUAGGCCGGAUCUGACACUGAUGCACGAAAGCGUGGGGAUCGAACAGG